Molecule: ribosomal RNA, 497 nt
Filed under: uncultured bacterium
Lineage: Bacteria
Description: partial 16S ribosomal RNA
Rfam family: Bacterial small subunit ribosomal RNA
Source: RNAcentral
GAUGAACGCUGGCGGCGUGCCUAAUACAUGCAAGUCGAGCGAACAGACGAGGUGCUUGCUCCUCUUACGUUAGCGGCGGACGGGUGAGUAACACGUGGAGAACCUACCUUUAAGACUGGGAUAACAUUGGGAAACCGGAGCUAAUACCGGAUAAUAACUUUAAACGUAUGGUUUAACAGUGAAAGAUGCAAUUGCUUUACUUAAUGGUUGUCUCCGGGUGGCAUUGGUAGGUUGGUAGGGAAAGGGCUUACAAAGGCAUCGAUCCUAACCGGACCUGAGAGGGUGAUCGGCCACACUGGAACUGAAACACGGUCCACACUCCUACGGAGGGCAGCGGUAGGAAACCUUCCGCAAGGAGCGAAGUCCGGACGGGGCAACGCCGCGUGGGGGAGGAAGUUCUUCGGAUCUUAAAACUCUGUUAUUAGGAAAGAAGAAAUGUGUAGGUAACUAUGCACGUCUUGACGGUACCUAAUCAGAAAGCCACGGCUAACUACGUG